This 371-nucleotide transfer-messenger RNA is filed under the name Sulfuricella sp. It matches the Rfam family "transfer-messenger RNA". Rfam says of the family: Bacterial tmRNA, also known as 10Sa RNA or SsrA, is named for its dual tRNA and mRNA-like properties. Its role is to liberate the mRNA from a stalled ribosome. To accomplish this part of the tmRNA is used as a reading frame that ends in a translation stop signal. The record is from Rfam by way of RNAcentral. RNAcentral also lists the same sequence under 1 other name. Lineage: Bacteria; Pseudomonadati; Pseudomonadota; Betaproteobacteria; Nitrosomonadales; Sulfuricellaceae.
GGGGGCGACCUGGUCUCGACGUGGGUUGCAAAGCAGAGUAGGGCAUACCGAGGUUCAGUCACCUCGUAAAACAGCUGAAAACCAAUAGUCGCAAACGACGAAAACUACGCUCUAGCCGCUUAAUCGCGCUAGACUCUGCACCGGUUGGUCUCUGGGCCGGCUUGAAGCCGCAAGGUGGAAAGAGCAGAGUCAUUAACAGAGACUCGUGCCGGCCAGCGUCGCUUUGACCGGUGUUAAAUCCAAGACGGCUCGCCUGAUUCCAGCCUGUUCGAUUGGCGUGAUGAGGGUUAAAACCAAAUAAUCGGACUAAGUAUGUAGAACUGCCUGUAGAGGGCUUGCGGACGCGGGUUCGAUUCCCGCCGCCUCCACCA